GACGAAGGGGGCUAGCGUUGUUCGGAAUUACUGGGCGUAAAGCGCGUGUAGGCGGUUGUCCAAGUUGGAUGUGAAAGCCUUGAGCUCAACUCAAGAAAUGCAUUCAGGACUGGAUGACUAGAGGACCGGAGAGGAUAGUGGAAUUCCCAGUGUAGUGGUGAAAUACGUAGAGAUUGGGAAGAACACCAGUGGCGAAGGCGGCUAUCUGGACGGUUUCUGACGCUAAGGUGCGAAAGCGUGGGAGCAAACAGG
This 252-nucleotide ribosomal RNA is filed under the name uncultured bacterium. RNAcentral's name for it is "partial 16S ribosomal RNA". It matches the Rfam family "Bacterial small subunit ribosomal RNA", at positions 524 to 776 of the family's 1533-position model. The record is from RNAcentral.